This 1183-nucleotide ribosomal RNA is filed under the name uncultured bacterium. RNAcentral's name for it is "bacterial SSU rRNA". It matches the Rfam family "Bacterial small subunit ribosomal RNA", at positions 200 to 1401 of the family's 1533-position model. The record is from RNAcentral.
AGUAAAGGUUUAUUCCGGUAAGGGAUGGGUCUGCGCCCUAUCAGCUUGUUGGUAAGGUAAUGGCUUACCAAGGCUAUGACGGGUAGGCGGAGUGAGAGCUUGUCCGCCAACAAUGGCACUGAGACACUGGCCAUACUCCUACGGGAGGCUGCAGUCGAGAAUAUUGGUCAAUGGACGAAAGUCUGAACCAGCGACGUCGCGUGUAGGAAUAAGAUCUUCGGAUUGUAAACUACUUUUAUAAGGGAAGAAUCUUUUAGAUGACGGUACCUUAUGAAUAAGGGGUGACAAAACUCGUGCCAGCAGUAGCGGUAAUACGAGUGCCCCAAGCGUUAUCCGGAUUAAUUGGGCGUAAAGGGUCCGUAGGCGGUUUGUUAAGUUUUUCGUUAAAUCUCCAGGGCUUAACCUUGGAGUUGCGGAAAAAACUAACAGACUAGAGGAUGUUAGGGGCUAGCGGAAUGUCUGGUGUAGGGGUGAAAUCCGUUGAUAUCAGAUGGAACACCAAAAGCGAAGGCAGCUAGCUGGGGCAAUCCUGACGCUCAGGGACGAAAGCGUGGGGAGAAAAGAGGAUUAGAUACCCUCGUAUUCCACGCCAUAAACGAUGAGCACUAUCUAUUGCAAGGUUCGACCCUUGCAGGGGUCAAGCUAACGCGUUAAGUGCUCCCGCCUGGGAAGUACGGUCGCAAGGCUAAAACUCAAAGGAAUAGACGGGGACUCACACAAGCGGUGGAUCACGUGGCUUAAUUCGACUCUAAGCGAGGAACCUUACCAAGGCUUGAAACUCUAAUGAGAUCCUUCCGAAAGGAAGGCCCUCCGAAAGAACAUUAGAGCAGGUGCUGCAUGGUUGUCGUCAGCAGGUGGCUUGAGUUGCUCCCUUAAAUGGGGAAACCUGCGCAACCCUUACCCUAUGUUUUAAAUGUCAUGGGGGACUGCCUAGGACAACUAGGAGGAAGGUGAGGAUGACGGCAAAUCAGCAUGGCCCUUUGAUGCCUUGGGCUGCACACGUGAUACAAUGGAAAUGACAAAGGGGUGCUAAGAGGUAACUUGGAGCAAAUCCCAUCAAACAUUUCCUCAAUUCGGAUUGAGGUCUGCAACCCGACCUCAUGAAGUCGGAAUCGCUAGUAACCGUAGAUCAGCCAUGCUACGGUGAAUAUGUCCCUGGGUCUUGUAAACACCGCCCGUCAAG